CACGUAGGGCGCAAGCGUUGUCCGGAAUUAUUGGGCGUAAAGAGCUCGUAGGCGGUCUGUCGCGUCCGAUUGUGAAAACUCGAGGCAUCAACCUCGGGCUUGCAGUGGAUACGGGCAGACUAGAGUGCGGUAGGGGAGACUGGAAUUCCUGGUGUAGCGGUGGAAUGCGCAGAUAUCAGGAGGAACACCGAUGGCGAAGGCAGGUCUCUGGGCCGCAACUGACGCUGAGGAGCGAAAGCAUGGGGAGCGAACAGG
This 255-nucleotide ribosomal RNA is filed under the name uncultured bacterium. RNAcentral describes it as "partial 16S ribosomal RNA". It matches the Rfam family "Bacterial small subunit ribosomal RNA", at positions 524 to 776 of the family's 1533-position model. The record is from RNAcentral.